GAUGAAGAACGCAGUGAAAUGCGAUACUUGGUGUGAAUUGCAGAAUCCCGUGAACCAUCGAGUCUUUGAACGCAAGUUGCGCCCGAAGCCAUUAGGCCGAGGGCACGCCUGCCUGGGCGUCACACGUCGUUGCCCCCCCAUCUACUCCUUCGGGAUUGCGGGGGGCGGAUGAUGGCCUCCCGUGCGCCUCGUCGCGCGGUUGGCAUAAAUGCCAAGUCCUCGGCGACGCACGCCACGACAAUCGGUGGUUGCGAAACCUCGGUUGCCCGUCGUGUGCGGUCGUCGCGCAUCGAGGGCUCGAAAAAAUUGCCGGGCUCCGGCUCGGCUUUCAACGCGACCCCAGGUCAGGCGGGGUUACCCGCUGAAUUUAAGCAUAUCAAUAAGCGGAGA
RNAcentral lists this unclassified non-coding RNA (390 nucleotides) under soil metagenome. RNAcentral describes it as "partial contains 5.8S ribosomal RNA, internal transcribed spacer 2, and large subunit ribosomal RNA". The stretch from base 1 to 122 matches the Rfam family "5.8S ribosomal RNA", at positions 35 to 154 of the family's 154-position model. The record is from RNAcentral.